GACGAACGCUGGCGGCGUGCCUAAUACAUGCAAGUAGAACGCUGGAGGAGGAGCUUGCUUCUCUGGAUGAGUUGCGAACGGGUGAGUAACGCGUAGGUAACCUGCCUGGUAGCGGGGGAUAACUAUUGGAAACGAUAGCUAAUACCGCAUAAUAUUGACUAUUGCAUGAUAGUCAGUUGAAAGGUGCAACUGCACCACUACCAGAUGGACCUGCGUUGUAUUAGCUAGUUGGUGGGGUAACGGCUCACCAAGGCGACGAUACAUAGCCGACCUGAGAGGGGGAUCGGCCACACUGGGACUGAGACACGGCCCAGACUCCUGCGGGAGGCAGCAGUAGGGAAUCUUCGGCAAUGGACGGAAGUCUGACCGAGCAACGCCGCGUGAGUGAAGAAGGUUUUCGGAUCGUAAAGCUCUGUUGUAAGAGAAGAACGAGUGUGAGAGUGGAAAGCUCACACUGUGACGGUAUCUUACCAGAAAGGGACGGCUAACUACGUG
RNAcentral lists this ribosomal RNA (495 nucleotides) under uncultured bacterium. RNAcentral describes it as "partial 16S ribosomal RNA". It matches the Rfam family "Bacterial small subunit ribosomal RNA", at positions 28 to 507 of the family's 1533-position model. The record is from RNAcentral.